UACGUAGGUGGCGAGCGUUGUCCGGAUUUACUGGGUGUAAAGGGCGCGUAGGCGGGAUUGCAAGUCAGGCGUGAAAUACCGGGGCUUAACCUCGGGGCUGCGCUUGAAACUGUGAUUCUUGAGUGCCGGAGAGGCAGGCGGAAUUCCUAGUGUAGCGGUGAAAUGCGUAGAUAUUAGGAGGAACACCAGUGGCGAAGGCGGCCUGCUGGACGGUAACUGACGCUGAGGCGCGAAAGCGUGGGGAGCAACCAGG
RNAcentral lists this ribosomal RNA (253 nucleotides) under uncultured bacterium. RNAcentral describes it as "partial 16S ribosomal RNA". It matches the Rfam family "Bacterial small subunit ribosomal RNA", at positions 524 to 776 of the family's 1533-position model. The record is from RNAcentral.